This 463-nucleotide ribosomal RNA is filed under the name uncultured bacterium. RNAcentral describes it as "bacterial SSU rRNA". It matches the Rfam family "Bacterial small subunit ribosomal RNA", at positions 1 to 507 of the family's 1533-position model. The record is from RNAcentral.
ACAGUCACACGAGUUUGAUCAUGGCUCAGAACGAACGCUGGCGGCAGGCUUAACACAUGCAAGUCGAACGGUUGUAGCAAUACAGCAGUGGCAGACGGGUGAGUAACACGUGGGAACCUUCCUAGGGGUACGGAACAACUCAGGGAAACUUGAGCUAAUACCGUAUACGUCCGUGAGGAGAAAGAUUUAUCGCCCUUAGACGGGCCCGCGUCGGAUUAGCUAGUUGGUGGGUAACGGCCUACCAAGGCGACGAUCCGUAGCUGAUCUUAGAGGAUGAUCAGCCACACUGGGACUGAGACACGGCCCAGACUCCUACGGGAGGCAGCAGUGGGGAAUCUUGGACAAUGGGCGCAAGCCUGAUCCAGCCAUGCCGCGUGAGUGAAGAAGGUCUUCGGAUUGUAAAGCUCUUUUGCCAGGGACGAUAAUGACGGUACCUGGAGAAUAAGCCCCGGCAAACUUCGUG